Molecule: long non-coding RNA, 1808 nt
Filed under: Nicotiana tabacum (common tobacco)
Lineage: Eukaryota; Viridiplantae; Streptophyta; Magnoliopsida; Solanales; Solanaceae
Description: long non-coding RNA (NTAB_LNC004450)
Source: RNAcentral
UUUACUAACAUGGAUUCAACCUUGUCCAAUUCCAGCCCUCUAAACAUGAAUAUUUACUAAUUUUAUGCCAAACAUGUCAAAAUAUUCAACUACCCAAACUCAUAUGGCAGCCUUACAAACCACAGUUUAGCAUAAUCCCAAAAUCAUAAUUAGAAUAUUAUACAAACUUAGAUCUUGGACAUGUGAACUCUGAAUCUUACUAGGGAAUAAGGUGUUGAUGCUAACAUUUAGUUACAACUAGAAACAAUGACUACCAAGCUAAUUAACACAUGUAAUGCUAAACAAAAAGAAAUCAAGAUCUGGAAGGAAAGUCCAAUUUCAUUCAAACACAUUGAAUCCUCAACUUCAUUUUGCACUUUCACGGUUCAAAACAUACCUGAAACAACAAAGAAAAAAACCAACAGAACUUCAGCAAGGAAAUCUAAAUGUCAGCAGCUCUUAAAGUAGCAACAAACAACAAUUCAUCAAUCAGCUUUUCAUGUUUUGAACCCCGAAGAAAACAACAAUUUACUCUAACUUUUAAAACCCAAGAAAUAUCAACAAACCAGCUGCAAUAGAACCAGUAUUUGAUGAUUAUUUUUGUAUUAUUUCUUCUAAUUUUGGGACAUAUCUCAGUAUAUAGUUUCAGCCGUUUGCUAACUUUUCAGGUCUCUAAUCUCUCCCUUCACAAUGAAAGAAGCAAACCUUAUAUAGAAAGACGUAGGGUAGCAGAACUGAUUUUAAUAUUACCCCUUCCCCAAAUUUUAUCUAUUCAUUUCAGAUCCCAAGUUUUAGCUUGUUUGUUAAACCAACCCCAAUCCCACCUUCCUGAAAAUUUUCCAGGUAGUUGUGAAAGAUUUUUCCAAUAAAAAUGCCCUAAAUACCCUUUAAACUUCUAUUAUUUACCUUUCACCACAACUGGGAUUUGAAUCCCUUCAAACAACUGAAAAUCCCAAAACCCCCACAACCUUUUGGGCCUUAGUGCUAAUGGGCCUGUCUGCAUGCAAGGCAGGCCCCAAACCAAAUAGAGCCCAAGACAAAAUAAUUUUUCAAAAGAAGAAGCAAGACGAAACGAAACAACAAUAUUUCUGACUAAACGAAUCAGUAAUGAACCAACUCGUUUGGACCAAGGAAUCAUAACAAAAACCAAUCCAAAAAAGUAGACCUAACAGUAAAGAAUUAAACUGAUUUAAAGGCUAAACAAACUAAACCAUAUUAAGAUGCCUAAUAACAAUUAGACGGACUAAAUGACUCUGAGGUCAAGCACAACAAAAAGAAAACUAAAUUUCUUUAUUCUUGAAAGAAAAGGAGAAGAAGAUAAAGAAAAGAAGGGGAACGGAGAGACAGAAAAAGGACCAAGAGAAUAGAAAUACCUAAUACUUUGGGCGGACAUAUGACUUGGAUUAGGCAACACCCCGGUUUUUUCGAUUUAAACCAAAAUGAGUGUUAAUCGACUGCUCUUGUGAGAACAAACAACUAACACUCAUUUCAGGCCAAAUUUGCCUUCAAAGAUUGGAGAACAUGAACCCAGGCCUUUGUAUGAUGAAUCAAGGAUGAGAACAGAUCUAGGGUUUUAUUUUUAGAUCUAAAAUUAAGGGGACAGGUGGAGAUUUUGGGGAAAUCGACACUGACCUAGUGUAUGAGGGAGUAUGAGGAGUGUAUGGUUAAUUUUUUGUAGGGUUGGGAGGUCCACCGCCGCCAAUGGCGAAUUGCGGUGGGCGACGAAUGGUGGUGAGAGAUAGGGUUUGAUGGAGAUGAAGAAUCAGGUAUCCUAGGUUACACUGAUGACAUUCAGACAUUUUUAAGCGAGAAGGGGAAGGCUUUCACAG